ACGUAAGUGGCGAGCGUUAUCCGGAAUUACUGGGCGUAAAGCGUGCGUAGGCGGUUUAGUGUGUGGGAAUUGAAAGCCCGGGGCUCAACUCCGGAUCCGGUUCCCAAACUGCUAGACUUGAGCGUAUCAGAGGACAGCGGAAUUCCCGGUGCAGCGGUAAUAUGCGUAGAUAUCGGGAGGAACACCAGUGGCGAAGGCGGCUGUCUGGGGUAUUGCUGACGCUGAGGCACGAAAGCCAGGGGAGCGAACGGGA
This 253-nucleotide ribosomal RNA is filed under the name uncultured prokaryote. RNAcentral's name for it is "partial 16S ribosomal RNA". It matches the Rfam family "Bacterial small subunit ribosomal RNA", at positions 525 to 777 of the family's 1533-position model. The record is from RNAcentral.